AUACCUGAGGAAAGUCGGAGCUCCACAGGGCAGGGUGCUGGAUAACGUCCAGUGGGGGUGACCCUAAGGAAAGUGCCACAGAAACAAACCGCCUGGCAAUUGCCAGGUAAGGGUGGAACGGCGAGGUAAGAGCUCACCAGCAGGCAGGUGACUGUCUGGCUAGGCAAACCCCACUUGGUGCAAGACCGAAUAGAGGAGCAAUGAGGUUGCCCGCCCCGCUCCCGGGUUAGGUCGCUUGAGGUGCCAGGCAACUGGCAUCCUAGAUAGAUGAUUAUCGAAUACAGAACUCCGCUUAUAGAUUUACUUGCAUU
RNAcentral lists this RNase P RNA (311 nucleotides) under Bacillota bacterium. RNAcentral's name for it is "partial RNase P RNA component class A". It matches the Rfam family "Bacterial RNase P class A". Rfam says of the family: Ribonuclease P (RNase P) is a ubiquitous endoribonuclease, found in archaea, bacteria and eukarya as well as chloroplasts and mitochondria. The record is from RNAcentral. Lineage: Bacteria; Bacillati; Bacillota.